GUGCCAGCAGCCGCGGUAAUACGAAGGAUGCAAGCGUUAUCCGGAAUUACUGGGCGUAAAGGGCGUCUAGGCGGUUGAGCAAGUCACCUGUAAAAGUCCACGGCUUAACUGUGGAAUGCCUGGUGAUACUGUUUAACUUGGGUACAGGAGAGGAGGGUGGAACUCACAGAGUAGCGGUGGAAUGCGUAGAUACUGUGAGGUACCCCGAUGGCGAAGGCAACCCUCUGGCCUGUUACCGACGCUGAAGCGCGAAAGCGUGGGGAGCGAAGGGGAUUAGAUACCCCCGUAGUCCACGCCGCAAACGAUGUUCACUGGGUGUCGGUCAUUAAUUAGAUCGGUGCCGGAGCUAACGCAUUAAGUGAACCGCCUGGGGACUACGGCCGCAAGGCUAAAACUCAAGAGAAUUGACGGGGCCCUGCACAAGCGGUGGAGCACGUGGUUUAAUUCGAUGAUAAGCGAAGAACCUUACCUGGGCUUGACAUACUAGCAGUAGGAGCCAGAGAUGGUAACGACCCCUACUUUUGGUAGGGGAACUAGUACAGGUGAUGCAUGGCUGUCCUCAGCUCGUGUCGUGGGACGUUGGGUUAAGUCCCGAAACGAGCCCAACCCCUGUUGUUAAUUGCCACGGGGUAAUGCCGGGGACUCUAACAAGACUGCUGGUGAAUAACCGGAGGAAGGAGGGGAUGACGUCAAGUC
This 696-nucleotide ribosomal RNA is filed under the name uncultured candidate division MSBL6 bacterium. RNAcentral describes it as "bacterial SSU rRNA". It matches the Rfam family "Bacterial small subunit ribosomal RNA", at positions 505 to 1191 of the family's 1533-position model. The record is from RNAcentral.